This 465-nucleotide ribosomal RNA is filed under the name uncultured bacterium. RNAcentral describes it as "partial 16S ribosomal RNA". It matches the Rfam family "Bacterial small subunit ribosomal RNA", at positions 28 to 507 of the family's 1533-position model. The record is from RNAcentral.
GACGAACGCUGGCGGCGUGCUUAACACAUGCAAGUCGUACGGUAAGGCCCUUUCGGGGGUCCACGAGUGGCGCACGGGUGAGUAACACGUGAGUAACCUGCCCACAACUUUGGGAUAACGCUAGGAAACUGGUGCUAAUACUGGAUAUGUGCUCCUGCUGCAUGGUGGGGGUUGGAAAGCUCCGGCGGUUGUGGAUGGACUCGCGGCCUAUCGGCUUGUUGGUGGGGUAGUGGCCUACCAAGGCGGCGACGGGUAGCCGGCCUGAGAGGGUGACCGGCCACAUUGGGACUGAGAUACGUCCCAGACUCCUACGGGAGGCAGCAGUGGGGAAUCUUGCACAAUGGGCGCAAGCCUGAUGCAGCAACGCCGCGUGCGGGAUGACGGCCUUCGGGUUGUAAACCGCUUUCAGCAGGGACGAAGCUUUUUGUGACGGUACCUGCAGAAGAAGCACCGGCUAACUACGUG